GCUUGUAAGCGCUCUCCCUCCACUUCGCGCUUGAGGGAGGUGCGAGGGUACCGCGCUGGAAUCCCCGGCUCGGCCGAGGUAUGACCCAAAUGAUCCAGGUGUGAGCCAUGGAGGAAAGUAAGAAUGCCCAAACCACAAAGAUGACAUCUGCCAUCCUUUCUGUCCUUUUUCUACUGCUGGAGAAGAAAAUGCAUGUGUCUGCCUGAGUGUUAUCAGAACAGUGGACAUCCUCCUUGUUGUAGAUGAGUAAUUGGUGCCUGGGGGAAGGAUGCUGUUGCUUUUGAAGCCUUUCAGUGAGAGAUACCAGAAUCUACACACAGAAUAAACUGAGAAGAAUGGUCUUUUCAAUCAUA
Non-coding RNA from Lonchura striata (white-rumped munia), 353 nucleotides. Lineage: Eukaryota; Metazoa; Chordata; Aves; Passeriformes; Estrildidae. The record is from RefSeq and is a predicted model, not a curated record.